This 254-nucleotide ribosomal RNA is filed under the name uncultured bacterium. RNAcentral describes it as "partial 16S ribosomal RNA". It matches the Rfam family "Bacterial small subunit ribosomal RNA", at positions 524 to 777 of the family's 1533-position model. The record is from RNAcentral.
UACGGGGGGGGCAAGCGUUGUUCGGAAUUACUGGGCGUAAAGGGCGCGUAGGCGGCCUGCUAAGUCGGACGUGAAAUCCCUCGGCUCAACCGAGGAACUGCGUCCGAUACUGGUGGGCUUGAAUCCGGGAGAGGGAUGUGGAAUUCCAGGUGUAGCGGUGAAAUGCGUAGAUAUCUGGAGGAACACCGGUGGCGAAGGCGGCAUCCUGGACCGGUAUUGACGCUGAGGCGCGAAAGCUAGGGGAGCAAACGGGG